RNAcentral lists this long non-coding RNA (457 nucleotides) under Sorghum bicolor (sorghum). RNAcentral's name for it is "long non-coding RNA (SBIC_LNC018694)". Lineage: Eukaryota; Viridiplantae; Streptophyta; Magnoliopsida; Poales; Poaceae. The record is from RNAcentral.
ACCGAGCACGUUUACGUUCCCAACCACGCUCGGGGACUUGUCGACUACUCUCUAUGCUGUGCUCGAAGACUGUGCCGACCACCGAGCACGUUUACGUUCCCAACCACGCUCGGGGACUUGUCCACCGGUCCCUACGCCGUGCUCGGGGACUUGUCCACCGGUCCCUACGCCGUGCUCGGGGACUGUGCCGACCACCGAGCACUAUACGCUCGGGGACUGGUCGACCAGCUCACCAAUUUAUGAACUUGGGGACUGCACCGACCACCGAGCACUAUACGCUCGGGGACUGGUCGACCAGCCCACCAAUUUGAGAAUUCGGGGACUGUACCGACCACCAAGCGUUAUAUGCUCGGAGACUGGUCGAUCAGUCUAUUCAAUUGCAGACGAGCAUGAUAUGCUCGGGGACUGGUAAAUUCAAUUUUUUAGACCUUGCUACAAGGCUCAUACUUCGCCUUCC